RNAcentral lists this long non-coding RNA (255 nucleotides) under Lathyrus oleraceus (garden pea). Its description in RNAcentral is "Pisum sativum (pea) long non-coding RNA (PSAT_LNC027881)". Lineage: Eukaryota; Viridiplantae; Streptophyta; Magnoliopsida; Fabales; Fabaceae. The record is from RNAcentral.
UACAAUUUAUUAGACCGGAAUUUUAUAGCAUUUUGGGUUAAUAAAAUCUUUCAUAUCAACAUAAUCUUGAAUUUAACUACAUUAAAGCAGAAUCUUGUUACAUUAUUUAAUUCAAACCAAAAAGAUUAAAUCAAUAUGGCAUUAAACAUAUUCCAAAAUGGCAUAAGUUGUACAAAGUCACAACUAAACAUAAACAUCAUCUACUAAAUAUUAUACAUAAUUCUAUGUUUUUAUUCUAAAGAGUGAGUUACUCUU